AACGAACGCUGGCGGCAUGCCUAACACAUGCAAGUCGAACGAGACCUUCGGGUCUAGUGGCGCACGGGUGCGUAACACGUGGGAAUUUGCCUCGGGGUAUGGAAUAACUCAGGGAAACUUGAGCUAAUACCAUAUAAUGUCUUCGGACCAAAGAUUUAUCGCCCUGAGAUAAGCCCGCGUAGGAUUAGCUAGUUGGUGGGGUAAAGGCUCACCAAGGCGACGAUCCUUAGCUGGUCUGAGAGGAUGAUCAGCCACACUGGGACUGAGACACGGCCCAGACUCCUACGGGAGGCAGCAGUGGGGAAUAUUGGACAAUGGGCGAAAGCCUGAUCCAGCAAUGCCGCGUGAGUGAUGAAGGCCUUCGGUUGGUAAAGCGUCUUUACUCGGUACGAUAAUGACGGUACCGAGAGAAGUAAA
Molecule: ribosomal RNA, 417 nt
Filed under: uncultured bacterium
Lineage: Bacteria
Description: bacterial SSU rRNA
Rfam family: Bacterial small subunit ribosomal RNA
Source: RNAcentral